AACUGUGCCCUGGUCUUGGAAAAGGACCUCAGGCUAAGAUCCUGGUCCAUAUAUUCAAGACCUCAGGCACAGUUUUUCCUUAUCUGGACCUCCUGACCAGUAAAUAACAUAUAUAUAUUACGGAAAUAAGAAGUCUGCGGUCUCGUCUGAUAUGCUUUCAUAAUGCACACACCCCUAACCAAUCAGAAAGGGAGGUCUGAAACAGUUACAGUACUUUACAUAUUAUCUUACCAUGCUUUGAAAAUGCUUUCCAGGUAGCAACUUUGGAGCGAUUCUUGAUAUUGUUAUCGACAGGUGCGUUUUGAAUGGAUUAAUUGUCAUGUGCUCGCACUUAUAUCCCGAUUACCUUGUGCUGUUUCAACUACUUGUGUUUAUUAACACUGCUUCUUUGAUGCUGUAUGUCUUGAGCCGUAAGAUGAGUGGAACCUCUGGCCACAAGAAAACUGAUGACAACGAAUUCUACCUGGUCCGCUUGUAUUAUGCAAAUACAGUAAGUUGUUAGUGUUUC
This is a long non-coding RNA of Actinia tenebrosa (Australian red waratah sea anemone), 508 nucleotides long. The record is from RefSeq and is a predicted model, not a curated record. NCBI's taxonomy places the organism in Eukaryota, Metazoa, Cnidaria, Anthozoa, Actiniaria, Actiniidae.